GUAUUGUAUUGCGUUAAACGCGGUGCACAUUCCAUAAGACUUUGCUACGGUGUAUGUGUAAAGACGUAGAACCACAGGAGGGAGACAGGUGUCCCCCAGACCAUAGAACUACAGAGGGUGCACAGGUGUGAGUGGAUGUGUGAACAGAGCGUGCACAUGCCCCCAUGUUUGAGGACCAGCAACAGCUCAUGUUGACAACUCAGUAAUGAUCCUUCCGCAGGUUCACCUACGGAAA
This 235-nucleotide unclassified non-coding RNA is filed under the name uncultured fungus. RNAcentral describes it as "sequence contains ITS1". The record is from RNAcentral. Lineage: Eukaryota; Fungi.